RNAcentral lists this ribosomal RNA (410 nucleotides) under Streptococcus mitis. RNAcentral's name for it is "bacterial SSU rRNA". It matches the Rfam family "Bacterial small subunit ribosomal RNA", at positions 28 to 430 of the family's 1533-position model. Lineage: Bacteria; Bacillati; Bacillota; Bacilli; Lactobacillales; Streptococcaceae. The record is from RNAcentral.
GACGAACGCUGGCGGCGUGCCUAAUACAUGCAAGUAGAACGCUGAAGGAGGAGCUUGCUUCUCUGGAUGAGUUGCGAACGGGUGAGUAACGCGUAGGUAACCUGCCUGGUAGCGGGGGAUAACUAUUGGAAACGAUAGCUAAUACCGCAUAAGAGUAGAUGUUGCAUGACAUUUGCUUGAAAGGUGCAAUUGCAUCACUACCAGAUGGACCUGCGUUGUAUUAGCUAGUUGGUGAGGUAACGGCUCACCAAGGCGACGAUACAUAGCCGACCUGAGAGGGUGAUCGGCCACACUGGGACUGAGACACGGCCCAGACUCCUACGGGAGGCAGCAGUAGGGAAUCUUCGGCAAUGGACGGAAGUCUGACCGAGCAACGCCGCGUGAGUGAAGAAGGUUUUCGGAUCGUAAAG